Molecule: transfer RNA, 75 nt
Filed under: Candidatus Tariuqbacter arcticus
Lineage: Bacteria; Pseudomonadati; Candidatus Electryoneota; Candidatus Tariuqbacteria; Candidatus Tariuqbacterales; Candidatus Tariuqbacteraceae
Description: tRNA-Val
Rfam family: tRNA
About the family: Transfer RNA (tRNA) molecules are approximately 80 nucleotides in length. Their secondary structure includes four short double-helical elements and three loops (D, anti-codon, and T loops). Further hydrogen bonds mediate the characteristic L-shaped molecular structure. tRNAs have two regions of fundamental functional importance: the anti-codon, which is responsible for specific mRNA codon recognition, and the 3' end, to which the tRNAs corresponding amino acid is attached (by aminoacyl-tRNA synthetases). tRNAs cope with the degeneracy of the genetic code in two manners: having more than one tRNA (with a specific anti-codon) for a particular amino acid; and 'wobble' base-pairing, i.e. permitting non-standard base-pairing at the 3rd anti-codon position.
Source: RNAcentral
GGGCGAUUAGCUCAGUUGGUUCAGAGCGCCUGCCUUACAAGCAGGAGGUCACAAGUUCAAAUCUUGUAUCGCCCA